CGAUCUGGAGACAUCAAUUUUCCCCUUCAUAAAUUUCAUGAAAAUUAACAUGACUACAGUGUGUCAGCUAAUUGGCAUUGAAUACCAGUGUACAUGUCAAGAUCAGUAUUUCUGGUCACUUGAUAACUGUGCUAUGUAUGGCACCUGUAAUUACGCGAAUGAAAAUGCAUGUACCUGUAUCAAUGCACUUCCCAGUGAUGGACAGAUGUGUGUGCCAACAAGUGAACUGCCAAUCUUUUACUAUCUGGUUGAAUUUAGGAUUAAUACUGAAAACACAUCAGUGAUCAAUGAAGGCAGAAACUUCCUUGGAGGAGUCAAUUUACCAUUUUUCUUUGGUCAGGUAGCAGAAAUUACAGAUGUGGAAAU
Molecule: long non-coding RNA, 366 nt
Organism: Clarias gariepinus (North African catfish)
Lineage: Eukaryota; Metazoa; Chordata; Actinopteri; Siluriformes; Clariidae
Exons: 3
Source: RefSeq, a predicted model, not a curated record